UAGGCCGAGGUGCUAAGGGCACACGGUGGAUGCCUUGGCGCCAGCAGGCGAUGAAGGGCGUGGUAAGCUGCGAAAAGCCCCGGCGAGGCGCAAACAGCUGAUGACCCGGGGAUGCCCGAAUGGGGAAACCCGGCAGGCAGAAAGCCUGUCAUCCGGCUUAUGCCGGAGGCGAGACCCCCCGAACUGAAACAUCUCAGUAGGGGGAGGAAAGGAAAUCAAACGAGACUCCCUGAGUAGCGGCGAGCGAAAGGGGAUCAGCCCAAACCGGAUGGGUGUCAAAGCCCGCAGGCGUUGCCCAUCUGGGGUAGCGGGACGUACCUGGAGGAGGCUGCGGACUCCUCGGGGAGUUACAAAAGGUUCGGGUAGCCGAAUGGUCUGGAAAGGCCAGCCGUAGAGGGUGAUAGCCCCGUAGGCGAAACUCGAACCUCUCCCUGGGGUACGAUCCCAAGUACCGCGGGACACGAGGAAUCCUGCGGGAAUCAGGGGGGACCACCCUCCAAGGCUAAGUACUCGCUGGCGACCGAUAGCGCAUAGUACCGUGAGGGAAAGGUGAAAAGAACCCCGGGUAGGGGAGUGAAAUAGAACCUGAAACCGUGUGCCUACAAGCGGUCGGAGGGGAGCUUUGCUCCCUGACGGCGUACCUUUUGCGUAAUGGGCCAGGGAGUUACUCUCGGCGGCGAGGCUAAGCCGAAAGGCGGAGCCGUAGGGAAACCGAGUCCGAAUAGGGCGCUUAGUCGCCGGGAGUAGACCCGAAACCGUACGAUCUACCCAUGGCCAGGUUGAAGUCCGGGUAACACCGGAUGGAGGACCGAACCCACCAGUGCUGAAAAACUGGGGGAUGAGCUGUGGGUAGGAGUGAAAAGCUAAUCGAGUACGGAGAUAGCUGGUUCUCCCCGAAAUAGCUUUAAGGCUAGCCUCACGGAUGAGUCUGCCGGAGGUAGAGCUACUGGUGGGGCUAGGGCCCCGAAAGGGGUACCGAACCCCGCCAAACUCCGAAUGCCGGCAGAUGCUCCGUGGGAGUCAGUCUGCGGGGGAUAAGCUCCGUGGACGAGAGGGAAACAGCCCAGACCGCCAGCUAAGGUCCCCAAGUGGUGGCUAAGUGGUAAAGGAAGUGCGCUCGCUAAGACAGCCAGGAGGUUGGCUUAGAGGCAGCCAUCCUUUAAAGAGUGCGUAACAGCUCACUGGUCGAGCGAGCGUGCGCCGAAAAUGUAGCGGGGCUCAAGCCACCCACCGAAGCUGCGGGUUCGCCAUUUGGCGAGCGGUAGGGGAGCGUUCCCUGCGGGUUGAAGUCGCACCGAAAGGUGCGGUGGACUGCAGGGAAGUGAAAAUCCUGGCAUGAGUAGGCGAUAAGGAAGGUGAGAAGCCUUCCCGCCGAAAGCCCAAGGUUUCCAGGGGAAGGCAAGUCCGCCCUGGGUUAGCCGGCCCCUAAGGCGAGGCCGAAAGGCGUAGCCGAUGGGAAGCGGGUCAACAUUCCCGCGCCACUCCGGUGGAGCGAUGGGGGUGACGCAGGAGGAUAGCCCAUCCCGGGCGUUGGUCGUCCCGGGCCAAGGUAGUAGGGGGAGGGCGUAGGCAAAUCCGCGCCCUCGUUAACCCCGAGAACUGAUGGGGAGGCUCCUUUGGGAGCCGAAGUGGGUGACUCCACACUGCCAAGAAAGAACCCCUAAGCUGUGAAGCCGGAGUGACCGUACCGCAAACCGACACAGGUGGGCGGGUGUAAAAGCACCAAGGCGUUCGGGGGAACCCUCCGUAAGGAACUCGGCAAAUUGACCCCGUAACUGCGGGAGAAGGGGUGCCCUGGAGGGUCUAGGGACUUGCUCCCGAAGCUCUCCGGGGCCGCAGAGAAUAGGCGGUGGCGACUGUUUACCAAAAACACAGGUCUCCGCAAACUCGUAAGAGGAUGUAUGGGGACUGCAACCUGCCCAGUGCCGGAAGGUUAAGGGGAGGGGUGCAAGCCCCGAACCGAAGCCCCGGUAAACGGCGGCCGUAACUAUAACGGUCCUAAGGUAGCGAAAUUCCUUGUCGGGUAAGUUCCGACCUGCAUGAAUGGUCCAACGACUGCCGCACUGUCUCGCGGAGGGUCCCGGCGAAAUUGUAGUCAGGGUGAAGAUGCCCUGUACCCGUGGCAGGACGGAAAGACCCCGUGAAGCUUUACUGCAGCCUGGCAUUGUGUCUUGGUCUGGCCUGCGCAGGAUAGGUGGGAGCCUGGGAAGCCCCCGCUCCGGCGGGGGUGGAGGCGCCGGUGAGAUACCACCCUGGUCAGGCUGAGGCACUAACCUAGGGCACUGAACCGUGCCCGGGGACAGUGUCAGGUGGGCAGUUUGACUGGGGCGGUCGCCUCCUAAAAGGUAACGGAGGCGCCCAAAGGUCCCCUCAGCGCGGUCGGCAAUCGCGCGUAGAGUGCAAGGGCAUAAGGGGGCUUGACUGCGAGACCGACAGGUCGAGCAGGUGGGAAACCAGGGCCUAGUGACCCGGUGGUCCCGAGUGGAAGGGCCAUCGAUCAACGGAUAAAAGCUACUCCGGGGAUAACAGGCUGAUCGGUCCCGAGAGCUCACAUCGACGGACCGGUUUGGCACCUCGAUGUCGGCUCGUCCCAUCCUGGGGCUGAAGCAGGUCCCAAGGGUUGGGCUGUUCGCCCAUUAAAGGGGCACGCGAGCUGGGUUCAGAACGUCGUGAGACAGUUCGGUCCCUAUCCGCCACGGGCGUAGGAGGCUUGAGGGGAGCUGCUCCUAGUACGAGAGGACCGGAGUGGGGACACCUCUGGUGUACCAGCUGUGGUGCCAGCCGCACCGCUGGGUAGCCAUGUGUCCACGGGAUAACCGCUGAAGGCAUCUAAGCGGGAAGCCCACCCCAAGAUUAGGCCUCCCUCGGCUUUAAGCCGGUAAGGCCCCUGGGAGACUACCAGGUUGAUAGGCCGCAGGUGGAAGCCCGGUAACGGGUGGAGCUGAGCGGUACUAAUCGGCCGAGAGCCUCGGCCUU
Molecule: ribosomal RNA, 2976 nt
Filed under: Balnearium lithotrophicum
Lineage: Bacteria; Pseudomonadati; Aquificota; Aquificia; Desulfurobacteriales; Desulfurobacteriaceae
Description: 23S rRNA. Bacterial LSU
Rfam family: Bacterial large subunit ribosomal RNA
Source: RNAcentral